CACCUCUAGCAUUACAAGUAUUAGAGGCAUCGCCUGCCCAGUGACUGUAGUUAAACGGCCGCGGUAUACUGACCGUGCAAAGGUAGCAUAAUCACUUGUUCCUUAAUUAGGGACUUGUAUGAACGGCUGAACGAGGAUCCGACUGUCUCUUAUUUUUAAUCAGUGAAAUUGACCUUCCAGUGAAGAGGCUGGAAUUACUAAAUAAGACGAGAAGACCCUAUGGAGCUUAAAUUUAUAAACUUAUUUAUUAUAAUAGUACUCCUAAUGGAACAAAAACAGUAUUAUAAGCUUAAAAUUUCGGUUGGGGUGACCUCGGAGAACAAAAAAUCCUCCGAACGAUUAUAACAUAGACCAACAAGUCAAAGUAACUUAACUUUCCAAUUGACCCAAAAAUAAUUUGAUCAACGGACCAAGUUACCCUAGGGAUAACAGCGCAAUCCUAUUUAAGAGUUCAUAUCGACAAUAGGGUUUACGACCUCGAUGUUGGAUCAGGACAUCCCAAUGGUGCAGAAGCUAUUAAUGGUUCGUUUGUUCAACGAUUAAAGUCUA
Molecule: ribosomal RNA, 549 nt
Filed under: Praomys daltoni (Dalton's Praomys)
Lineage: Eukaryota; Metazoa; Chordata; Mammalia; Rodentia; Muridae
Description: partial 16S ribosomal RNA
Rfam family: Bacterial large subunit ribosomal RNA
Source: RNAcentral